This 274-nucleotide ribosomal RNA is filed under the name uncultured bacterium. RNAcentral describes it as "partial 16S ribosomal RNA". It matches the Rfam family "Bacterial small subunit ribosomal RNA", at positions 523 to 796 of the family's 1533-position model. The record is from RNAcentral.
AUACGGAGGGUGCAAGCGUUGUUCGGAAUUACUGGGCGUAAAGCGCGCGUAGGCGGUCUGUUAUGUCAGAUGUGAAAGUCCUCGGCUCAACCGGGGAAGUGCAUUUGGAACUGGCAGACUUGAGUACUGGAGGGGGUGGUGGAAUUCCCGGUGUAGAGGUGAAAUUCGUAGAUAUCGGGAGGAAUACCGGUGGCGAAGGCGACCACCUGGCCAGAUACUGACGCUGAGGUGCGAAAGCGUGGGGAGCAAACAGGAUUAGAAACCCCUGUAGUCC